UCAUGGAAACAAUGCAAAAGCGAAAGCUUUAAUGAUUUUGAAACUGGUUGGAUUCAAUGCCAUAAGUUCUGCCUCAAUAUCAAGGCGUUAUGUCUGUUUAUUUCAGGUAUUUAUACGUAGAUGCCAAAGAUUUAGCACCAACUCAAACAUGAAGUUGCUGAGAAAAAAACCAGCUGUAGCAUGGUUCAAGAGGAUAGCACUGAAGGUAAUUUUUUCUGUCGACAUAUUUCAGUUGCAUUGAAGAUAAUGAAACAUGUCUGAUUCUGAUUUUAGCAGUUAUCCCAAGUGUCAUAUUCUGGAAGUGCUGCGGUUUGUGAUGUCUGACUUGAAAACAUUUAGAUGACGGGUUUUGUAUCCUUAAGAGAGAUAGUAUUCUUUUUUUCUCUCUGUUUUCUAACGUUUAUAGUUUAUGAUCAUGCACAUUGCACAAAAAUACCUCCGAUUAAUAGUAAUUGAGAAUUUAUGGAAACACUAUUACAUUAAGAAAAUAAACUAGAGCAUGGCAAGAACAUGUGCUUUAGAGUAACUGUACACUUUGGUCAAGCGUGUAAACUUGACACGGGUUGUUAUUCAUAGUAACCACAUUGCAUAUUUAGUUUAAUACCCAAAAAUACCUUGGCUCAUGUCAAACCAUACCUUCCUGAACACCUUGAUGAUGAGAUCAUGAUAUUCAUCUGCAUUCAAAGUCAGAUAACAUACCAAAAGAUCUUCCAUUUCUUCUGGCUGAAUAAUCUGAUUCUCUAUGAUCAUCUCAAUCAUUGAGUCUCUGAAAUCUUGCAUUGGAUCUAUUGAAGACUUAAUCACAGCAAAGCUUUCUAAUACUGGUAUUUCCUCCUUUUCUUUCUUCGUCUUUAGUUUUGCUUUCUUCAUGUCUUCCAGGGCCUUUAUUUUGCAAAUUUCAACCUUAGAAACCAUCCUUGGAGAAUGUAUUUUGACCCUAGAGCUCGGCUUUUGUUUCCUCCUCUGACGUUCUCUGUUGAGUUGAUGUGAUUGCUUAUUCCUGUUGGUCUUUACCUUCGUCUCCUCAGUUUGUUUCAAGUUCUGCCUCUCAGAACUCAUUUUCUUGUGAGACAGCCUUUCAUUUUUCUCAAAAUUUUCUAUAACAUUUCCAAGGAUGGGAUUCCUUGAAAUUGCUGAAGAAGAAAAAGCGUGUGUUCUUGGGGUGCAAAUUGUUCUAGGUGAUUCCAAUUGCAACACAUCUUUUUCCACUGCUUUACUUGAUCCUCUUUCAAGUGUCAAGAGUUGGUCUUGAAAAGCCUUUUUUGCUUUCCUCUCAAAUCUCUUCCUUAAGUUUUCAUAUUCCUUUUCUCUAUUGUACACAUCCAUCUUCUUUGAAACCUUCCCAUCAUCCACCAACUUUCUUUCUUCUCCUUGACCAAUAUCCCUCUCCUUUAACUCUGGUGUGCCUUUAACAUCCCUUCUACCACCAAAGCAACUUGAGGAGUGAAUCACACUCUCAUCAAUAUCUUCAUUCUUCUCAUCCUCGUUUAAACGUUGUCUACAGAAAUCACCAUCAUUCUUUACACAACAUCUUCUAUCUCCAAUCUCACAGAAAUAUUGAGGUGAACUACUAGGCUUUGCCUUUUGCUUCAUUUUUGCAGCACUUGGCUCCGAAUUGAUUCUCAUAUUCUUGAACUUGGAGAACCAAGAGAAAGGAGAUGCAUGAGAAAUGAAGGAAGAGACAGAAGAAGAGGAAGUUGAAGAAUGAUUUCUUCCUACCCACUUCAUCGUUUGUAUUAAUGAAGAUGAUGAUAAAUCUCUUCUUCCUUCUGAUUUGGUUAAGGUUUGUAGUAUUUUGUAGAAGAUAGAAUACGAGAAUGAAAACUGAUAUGGAAGAUAAUGUUGCUUAGUGGCAUAAGAUAACUCGUGAAACAUAGUGGGACGGUUAGGAUGUUAAAUAGGAACGUGGGUUUCCUACUGUUUUUCAAAAGACACAACCACCUAAUGCCUGUGACUAUUACCAACUUUUGGUGCUUUUUAGUUUCUACUUAGUGCUUACGUACGACCAAUUUAUAAUUCCUAUUCAUAACAAAAAGGCCACACAACAAAUGUUACUCAUAUCUUAUCUUACACCAUACUCUCCCAUAAUGGAACUUUUUUUGGUUAAAAUUUAUUGAAAUUAUAGAAUUAUGUCUCUUACCUCCUAUUUAUUCAAUUAUUUAAUCUAUUUUAACUUUUAAUAAGUUUUAACCAGUAAUAAAAAUUCAGAUAACAAGAUUUGUGGGAUUGUAGGUCAUUUAUAUUAAAAGCUGGUUAGUGUUGACUGACCCACAGCUAAAGGUAGCAGAAGCCCUUAAUAAGGGGCUACCCUCAAAGAGUACGGUAGCGUAGGUCUCACAUAACACAAGUUAUACUGGUAGCUCUAACCAAAGAUUGGAAUCCACACCGAGUUAUGCAAAUUGAUUAGCAGCAGCACCCUCUCAAAAGUUUCUCUGCAUAAUCGCCAGCUUGUGUGAAUUAAAUUGUAAGUUGACCCGGGUUGUCCUUUAAAUUUCACCCAUGACAGAUUCAUUGAAACGUGAGAAAAAAAAAAUUCUAAGAUCUAAUUAAUAUAAUUAAUAGAAGAUGACUACAGUUACACAAUCAUCGUACUGAUCCCAACAACACCAAAAGCUAAGUCCUUUGGUUAAUCUUUUCUUCAUUCACAUUUACAUUCGUGUGUAAAAUGACAUACACGAAGAAGGGUGUGCCAAUUUAAAUGGUAAAAUUUCAAAUCUCCCUUAUUGCUGAUUGAAAUGUUAGCCAAAAGUUAAUCUUUCAUCGUUCACAUAUAACAUAUAAGUGUAAAAUGGCAUACCCGAAAAAGGUUUGAAGGUCAAAAUUAUGAUGGUGAGAUCGCUGGUCUACUAUAGCUAAGGUCUUGUUCAUUUAUUUAACUGUUGCCUUCACAUUGAAUGGUGAGAUAAUGGUAAUGAGUGGGAACUGCCAAAUUUCAAUCACUGUUGAAAUAGUUAUGUCUUUCUUUGAAAUUUCGUUCCUUUCAUCAUCAAACCAUUUAUUAAAGCACAUUUUAAAUAGUAAAUGCAUAAUUCGAUCCUUAAAAAGAAACAAACACCAAAGUAGAGGGUGACUAAACUAAUUGUUCCAGCUAAAUAAAGAACAUGUUCAAGAGUGUAUAGAUCCUGAACGUGUAUUUAGCAGUUCAAAAAAUUUUACACAAGUCUUUUAUGUGUGUUAAUGUAAGGAAAAGUGAUAAAGAUAAAGGUUAAAAGACAUAGCAAAUAUUUUUCUUUCCCUUAUUUUUUUGUAAUGAAACAUUAUGUUGUCUUAAGUAGAAGGUAGUUUUUCUGAAAAAUCGUUGUUAUCAUUAUCGUUCUGCUUUUUGUAAUUUAUUUCCAACUGCUUAUUACAGCAUUCGUUUUGGUCUGAAAAUCCCUAAGUCAAUGUCAUCAGAAAAGUUCGUUUAUCUUUCAUGCAGGUGCUGAUUUUACAUACAAUUGGUCACUGCACUGCACUGCAAUUCUGAAAAGUAAUUAAGAAUUUUUGGACAACCAAGUCAAGUAAAUGUAUAAGAAGUUGGGUUUGCUGCCAUUUUCUGUGUUGGUUGGUUAAGAAAUGCAUAAAUUUCCACUCUACAGUUUUUGUUUAAUUUUCU
This 3595-nucleotide long non-coding RNA is filed under the name Vigna radiata. RNAcentral's name for it is "long non-coding RNA (VRAD_LNC010721)". The record is from RNAcentral. Lineage: Eukaryota; Viridiplantae; Streptophyta; Magnoliopsida; Fabales; Fabaceae.